CCUACGGGUGGCAGCAGUGAGGAAUAUUGGUCAAUGGACGCGAGUCUGAACCAGCCAAGUAGCGUGAAGGAUGACUGCCCUACGGGUUGUAAACUUCUUUUAUAAAGGAAUAAAAUGAGGCACGUGUGCCUUUUUGUAUGUACUUUAUGAAUAAGGAUCGGCUAACUCCGUGCCAGCAGCCGCGGUAAUACGGAGGAUCCGAGCGUUAUCCGGCUUUAUUGGGUUUAAAGGGAGCGUAGAUGGGAUGUUAAGUCAGUUGUGAAAGUUUGCGGCUCAACCGUAAAAUUGCAAUUGAUACUGGCAGUCUUGAGUACAGUUGAGGCAGGCGGAAUGCGUGGUGUAGCGGUGAAAUGCUUAGAUAUCACGAAGAACUCCGAUUGCGAAGGCAGCUUACUAAGCCGUGACUGACACUGAUGCUCGAAAGUGUGGGUAUCAAACAGGAUUAGAUACCCGGGUAGUC
RNAcentral lists this ribosomal RNA (460 nucleotides) under uncultured bacterium. RNAcentral's name for it is "partial 16S ribosomal RNA". It matches the Rfam family "Bacterial small subunit ribosomal RNA", at positions 338 to 795 of the family's 1533-position model. The record is from RNAcentral.